This 292-nucleotide ribosomal RNA is filed under the name uncultured bacterium. RNAcentral's name for it is "partial 16S ribosomal RNA". It matches the Rfam family "Bacterial small subunit ribosomal RNA", at positions 505 to 796 of the family's 1533-position model. The record is from RNAcentral.
GUGUCAGCAGCCGCGGUAAUACGUAGGGGGCAAGCGUUGUCCGGAUUUAUUGGGCGUAAAGAGCGUGUAGGCGGCCAGGUAGGUCAGCUGUGAAAACUCGAGGCUCAACCUCGAGACGUCGGUUGAAACCACCUGGCUAGAGUCCGGAAGAGGAGAGUGGAAUUCCUGGUGUAGCGGUGAAAUGCGCAGAUAUCAGGAAGAACACCCGUGGCGAAGGCGGCUCUCUGGGACGGUACUGACGCUGAGACGCGAAAGCGUGGGGAGCGAACAGGAUUAGAUACCCGCGUAGUCC